Molecule: ribosomal RNA, 1093 nt
Filed under: Phytopythium vexans
Lineage: Eukaryota; Oomycota; Peronosporomycetes; Pythiales; Pythiaceae
Description: partial large subunit ribosomal RNA
Rfam family: Eukaryotic large subunit ribosomal RNA
Source: RNAcentral
UUUUGCAUGGCGAAUUGUAGUCUAUGGAUGCGCUAUCAGUGCAGCCGCGCGGGCCAAGUUCCUUGGAAGAGGACAGCAUGGAGGGUGAUACUCCCGUUCCUGCCUGUGCGUGUUGUGCGUACGAUGCGUUUUCUUUGAGUCGCGUUGUUUGGGAAUGCAGCGCAAAGUAGGUGGUAAAUUCCAUCUAAAGCUAAAUAUUGGUGCGAGACCGAUAGCGAACAAGUACCGUGAGGGAAAGAUGAAAAGAACUUUGAAAAGAGAGUUAAAGAGUACCUGAAACUGCUGAAAGGGAACCGGGUCGUUGCCAGUGUCUAUAAUCUGCGGCAUAUUUCAUUGUCGGAUGCGGCCGUGCGGCGCGUUUGGUAGUGGGUUCGUCCUGCACCGCGUGUUGCUGUGGUUGUGUUUGGUGGUGCCCUGUGCUGUGGUGGGACGUCAGAGUCAGUUCGUAUGCUGCGGGAAAUGGCUGCUGGGGAGGUAGGUCGGGGGUUCGCCCUCGGCUGUUAUAUCCUGGUGGACUAGUCGUCGUGGUUGGGACUGAGGUGCCUACAACGUGCUUUUGAGUGUGGAGGUUUCUUCGUUUGCGCGUCGGUUGGAUAGCUUGCUAUGCAGUUGGCGUUGUGUGCGGAUGGAUGUCUUUGCUAACUUGUUGCCGUUCGGGACUUUGACGAAAUGGCGCGAUCCGACCCGUCUUGAAACACGGACCAAGGAGUCUAACAUGUGUGCAAGUGUUAGGGUGUGGAAACCCGAGCGCGAAAUGAAAGUAAAGGGCAGUGUAUGCUGCCUGAGGUAGGAAACCUUUGCUCGUCAGGGGUGGCACUAUCGACCGAUCAUGAACCUUCGUGGUGAAAGAUUUGAGUAUGAGCACAUAUGUUGGUACCCGAAAGAUGGUGAACUAUGCCUGAGUAGGGUGAAGCCAGGGGAAACUCUGGUGGAAGCUCGUAGCGAUUCUGACGUGCAAAUCGAUCGUCAAACUUGGGUAUAGGGGCGAAAGACUAAUCGAACCAUCUAGUAGCUGGUUCCCUCCGAAAUUUCCCUCAGGAUAGCAGCAACUUAUUUACGAUAGUUUUAUGAGGUAAAGCGAAUGAUUAGAGGA